Long non-coding RNA from Quercus robur (English oak), 2496 nucleotides. RefSeq lists it as uncharacterized. The transcript is spliced from 2 exons. Lineage: Eukaryota; Viridiplantae; Streptophyta; Magnoliopsida; Fagales; Fagaceae. The record is from RefSeq and is a predicted model, not a curated record.
GGGACGUGCACAGGUAGAGACGAAGGGAGACCAGCCACGCGUGUUGGUGGUGUGAAACAGCUUCAUGUGAUAUUACCAUUGCAAAUUUGGGCGAAGACCAUUUCUCACUUCCCUCUCUUCGUUUUCUCUCACAUUUCAUUACUCUAUCAAAUCUCGGCCUCCAGCGAUCUAAACCGAAGCACGAAACCCAGCCGAUUUCUCUGCAUCUGAAUCGGAACCGGAAUAGCGAGUUAGAGCUCUGUACGUUGCAAAAACCAUUUGAAGUCAUUUCUGUGACCUUCUCCCAGUUGCGGUGGUCCUAUUACUUGGUUUAGAAAGAGGUGUGUUAAAUGGGUAUUGUGGGUAAGAAACUGAAAUUGAAAAAUGAAGGAAGAUCAAAAAGAAGAAGGGGACCUGUUCUGUUGUGCUUGUGCGUUGAUGUGGGAGGCGAGGGAAGAAGAAGAUGGUUUUCUGAUGGGAUAAAAUGAGGGAGAGGAAAAAAAGAAAAGAAGAAAAGUAUGUUCAUGCGGGUAGGAAACAGUUUCACCACUGUGUAAUGUCAGUGGGUGGGAUCCACAGCUUUGACAAAAAGUUGAGUUAAAAAGAUGAGAUAUGUGAUUGAGUUUUUAAACCAAACAGGAGUUUUGGGGUUUUUCAGUGAAAGUGGGAUUUGAGUUAUGAGUGAUGAGUUUUGAGUUCUAGUUAUGAGUUUUGAAAACUGAGUUAAGAAAACUAAGUGAUGGGGAAACCAAACGGACCCUUACUCACUCAGAUUAACCUUUUGCUCUCUCACUCACAAUUCUCUUAUUUCCUCCCUCCCUCUAUCCCUUGCUCUCUCUUUUUCUCACUCUCAACUCAUACAAACUCAUAGCAGAACGAAGAGAAUCAUAUGUUAUAAUGGAGGAUGACACAUUGCAAUAUGUCAAAAACGGAGUGAACUCUUAUGAAGUCAUCCAAGUUCUCGUAAGUAUUGAUAGUAUCUCAUCAUUUAAGCUAAGGCUUAAUCAACCAAACAAGCUACUUCAAGAAUUACUCUGUUUCAGCCAUCGUACCGUAUCUUAAAAUUGGUUGAAAUGGGUGAUAAGGAACGAGCAUCCAAGAUUCACUUCUUGGAAAAAGAAUGCAAAGAAAAUGUUUCUAUGGCUACCGAAGGGUCAAAUAUUUUGAAGGUACAUGUGUGUUUCCCAACCGACAAAGGUUUUGCGAUUAUACUUACAAGUUGCCGGUUUUUAUUGUUUGUACUAAGAAACUAUCGGGCUUUUCACAAUGGAUUUGAAGAACCCAUGGCUGCCUUUCAUUCUUAGAGAAACAUUAAAAAAUUUGUGUGGCAUUCAUGUACGGUGCGCCCACCAUGGCUCUGUUGAUGCUCUCAAAGUUUUAACAAAGCCAUGAUGGGUGUACCAUCACACAAGGUUUUUAAAGGCAGCUAUGAAUUCUUCAAAUUCAUUGUGAAAAGUUCUGUAGUUUCUUAGCACAAAUAAUGAAAAUCGGCAACUUGAAAGUAUAAUCGAAAAACAUUUGUCGGUUGUGAAAUACACAUGCAUCUUUAAAAUAUUUGAGCCUUCGGUAGCCAUAGAAAUGUUUUCUCUGUAUUCUUUUUCCGAGAAGUAAAUCUUGGAUGCUUGUUCCUUAUCACCCGAUUCAACCAAUUUUAAGAUACGGUACAAUGGCUGAAACGGAGUAAUUCUUGAAGAUGGCUUGUUUGGCUGAUUAAGUCUUAGCUUAAAUGAUGAGAUGCUAUCAAUACUUACGAGAGCUUGGACGACUUCAUGUUCACUCCGUUUUUGACAUAUUGCAAUAUGUCAUCCUCCAUUAUAACAUAUGAUUCUCUUCGUUCUGCUAUGAGUUGAGAGGGAGAAAAGGAGAGAGAGCAAGGGAUAGAGGGAGGGAGGAAAUAACGCCAAGCAAGAACGCCGGUGUGUUGGUAAAGGGCAAAGCUAAAGUUUCAAAAACUUUCAAGAAAGUAAAAACAAUUCUUGGAGCAAAGAAGAAGACGAAAGCCCAUUUGACAAUAGAGUAGAUCAUUUGCAAAAAUGAUGCAUGGAAGAAGAUCUGAAGGAUAGACCAGCAGUCCAAGACCUCAGCAAGCAUCUCAAGGGCUUAAUUAAGCAACAUGAGUUUCUUGUAAGAGAAGUAAUAGCUCAAGAAUCUAUGCCACACCAUUCAUAGGCCCGGUCUAGCAAUUGCAAGUCGAAAGUUCAGAAAUAUGAAAACAUCUUCUCUUUCUUUUUUGUUCUUUUUUAAUGAAGAAAUCUCUUAGCUUAGGAAAUCUUUGUCGUAGCUUGUGAAUUUUUUUUCUUCAAUUUGCCAUUUUUUAGCUUUCUUUUUUUUUAAUAAAAACUUUGGUUUUUAGAGGGGGAGAAAAAAAAACAACGUGAUGUACAGUGUAUUGCUGUUUUGCUUAUUAAUUUUUGUUGAACCUGCCAAGACAGAGAGCAUGAGAAUUCUAUUUUUCUUGUUUGAUUCAACAAGUUGAAUACACUGUAGCACCACUGCACAGUGCACACCUCACCCUCA